AAUUAUUACUUUCUCUUUGGUAAUCGAUCGCUAACAAUAAUAUUGUAUGAAGAUAACCAAUCAUAUAUUACGUCUAAUGAAUCUAUAUGUGUUUAUUAUCUUUUUUGUAUCCCCUAAAAUAAACCUUGAAAUACCUAAGAGAUUUUAUUAUUUUCAAUAUGCAAGGGAACAUCUGCUAAAAAGGAGAGACGACCGUGAUCUUUCUGGUAAUUUAUUUGUUGGUUUAAAUGUGAAACAAUAUUUUUAGAACUUUUAUUGUUUCUCUUUAAGACUAUAUAACUAACAUGUCUUGUGAGCCUAUAUGCAAAAAAGUACACAAAUGAUACCUUAGAUAUAGAACAUAAAAAUACUCCGACUUAAAAAUAAACAAACAAAGAAACUUGAUUA
This 387-nucleotide small RNA is filed under the name Arabidopsis thaliana (thale cress). RNAcentral's name for it is "ATSL283750". Lineage: Eukaryota; Viridiplantae; Streptophyta; Magnoliopsida; Brassicales; Brassicaceae. The record is from RNAcentral.